AGCUGCUUCCAGUCACGGUGUUUCAUCACAGCCACAGAAGACAGACUGACGUCAGUGCUCCCCCUGGUUCUCUCCUAGCAGGGUUAGUUUCAAGUUUUCUACUCAAGAACUGUGUAAUAGUUAAGCCGCCUUAUAUACACGAGAGAGAAGGUCUGGUUUCAUUCUUCUACAGCCUAGCUAAAGGUUUGAAAACUUCAAAAUCUCACCAGGCAAAGUGACCCAUGCCUAUAAUCGCAGCAUUUGGAAGGCUGAGACAGGAGGAGCAUGUACUUCUGGAGCUGUGAAUUCCCUCGCCAAUUUUGCCGUGUCCCUGGCUUUGAAACACUGCUGCUACCUUCAUUUGUUUCAAGAAAUUUGGAAUUCGUCCUUUUAAUCUCUUUUUUGCUGCAUCAUUUGGAGAGUGCAGCUUCAUUUCCUGGUUCUGAAAUGACUCCCCUCCCUCCUUAUAGCAGUUUCUAGUUCUACUGAACUGUGAUUAGGAAAGUUACUCAACAUUAUUUCAGUUCUGAAGAAUUUGCUCAGACUCGAUUUGUAGCCAAUGUCUAUCCUGCAGAAUGGAAACUCCAUCCCUGAAGCCCACAUUGAGAGCUGUGCCACUAAUCCCAGCACUCACUCAGGCCAUCCCAGCACUCACUCAGAAGGGAAUCCCAGCACUCACUCAGAAGGUCAUCCCAGCACUCAGAAGGCACAAGGCAAAUGUCUGUGAGUUGAGGCCAGCCUGGUCACACAGCUAGCUACAGACCAAGCAGGUGACCUGCACCCAGAAAAAAAUAAAUAAAGCAAGCCUAC
Long non-coding RNA from Mesocricetus auratus (golden hamster), 789 nucleotides. RefSeq lists it as uncharacterized. The transcript has 3 exons. Lineage: Eukaryota; Metazoa; Chordata; Mammalia; Rodentia; Cricetidae. The record is from RefSeq and is a predicted model, not a curated record.